UGCCAAGGCCGCGUCCGCACAUGCUUAGGCUGAGCUAGUGGGUAGCACGUGCUUGGGAUAGUGAGAGGUGCUGGGUGCUGGGGUUGUGGGAGCUCUCCACGGGUGCGAGAACUGUGUGCCAGUUGAGAGAGGCGGCCGAGCGUGGCCGUGGGAGGAGACCGCGAUGUGGGGUCUGAGAUUGCGCCUAGGUGCGGAGGACGCGUGGUCCGGUCGGCGCUCUGUGCGCCCUGUCAUCAAUCCAGAUAUAUCGGCUCUGCUCUCGGCCCUGCAGGUCUGAGCGCUCCUCGGUGCCAGCGGGAAUGCCCUGUGUCAUCCAGGAGGCCCAGGCUGCGCCCCAUCCCCUGCGCCCUCCAGAGGACCGCAGGGCUGCGUCCGGAAGGCAGAUAUUUGGAUCUAGAGAGAGGACGCCUCCCCGUAGCCCCAGCUAUAAUGUCCAAAGCAUCAUCAGCUGUCACUUCUCAGGAGCCUGCGCUAGAAGAGUUACCCAGAAGAAAAGGGAAUAACUAAUUCAUUCUUAAAAGCCAGGCCCCAACUUCUGCCAAUUCCUCCACUGUUCCACCUGGAAAGCUGAUUCCAUGAGCACACCCAGGUUGGGGCACAGGAAACAGAACGCUACAGGAAAGGCCAGAGGAUGUUUUGGAGAAACAAGAUAACCUACUGCUAGACCUGAUAACCUUCGAGGAUGAGGCCGUGGAAUUCACCCAGUGGGAGUGGGGGCAGCUGGCCCCUGCACAGAAGCAUCUGUACAGAGACAUGAUGCUGAGAACCUGGGGCUUCCAGUAGCCAAGCUGUAUGUGAUCUGGCAGUAGGAGGAUGGGGAAGUGUUCCUGUGUGUCAGAGAGAGAAAUUUCAACGGGAGUCCACCCAGGUGACUUGGGAUGGCCUGGUGGCCUCCAUUUCUUGCAGCAGAAUUUUGCACUCCAAGCUUCAUUGACCGCCGCGUGUAGCACGAGCUUACUGCAGGGGAGUGGCAUUCUCUGUCAGUUGUCCAUCACAGAGGCAGAGCUAUAGUCUCAGCUCAGAGCUGAAGUUCAGGAAAGCAGCAUUCACAUCCUGAAAGGCUAGCCUGGGCUUCCACAGGGAGCCUGGAAUGCAGCACGGAGAGGGAUGUGCUGUCGCCUGGGUAUUGGUACUUUCUUGAUCAUUUUUCCUUCCAGAAUGAGAUCAAAGUGCUGAACCUGGAUCUAGCCUCAUGAUCAGUAUCUAUUUAUGUACUGUAGUCCGAAGCAUGGCUGUGGUUCAGGAUGUCCUAGGAGCUUUUUUAAAUACUUAGAGUCCCAGCCGGGUGUGGUGGCUCAUGCCUGUAAUCCCAGCACUCGAGAGGCUGAGGCAGGAGGAUCCUUGCAAGUUCGAGACCAGCCUAGGCUACAAAGUGACCUCAAAGUCAGCCUGAACUGCAUAGCGAGACCCUGUCUCAAAAAUACAAAAAAAAAAGAGAACAUGGCGGACAGAUAGCAACAGCCACAGAAGCUCUCUGAAAUUGCCAGCUUACAAUCUAGGAAUGAUGUGGUGUGAGGAGUCCUAAGCAAGGGGAGAUAUACCCUGCCAACCCAAGAACAAACUAAGCUGAGAGAACUGGAAAGGUAAUCCCGAUGCUAUAACAGGAACAGAUAAAAUCUCAGCGUGGAAGUUGGCACCCGCACAUCUGGAAGCUGUGAUUUGAAUUUCCUGCUGCCGCUGCUGUGUCCCAAUUGGCACAGCAGGGAGAGAGAGUGCGGGAAAGCUCUGAGAGUGGGAAUCAGCGAACCAAACGGAGUUGAGAGUGGGACUGGCGGGGAGCCCUGCAUUGACCUGUGGUGAGUGAGAAGAAUGGGGACCCUUCCAUAGACUAGGAGGUUCCAACAGAGGACAUUCUGGGACCGGGCAGACUAGCUGGAACAGGGCGCUGCAGUGACUUUAGUUGCAUAUUCCCCUCUCAAGCGGGCUUGGUGGGGAGCACUUGGCCUGGUGAUGCUGUAGACUAAGAUCCAGUAAGCUAGCCCAAACCAGGUCCCAGUGCCUGGAGGUGCACCCUAGCAGUGAAGCCUUCAGUCGGUUGACCUGGAGGGGCAGGCCCAGCAGAGGCUACCCAGGUCUGUGUCUCCCUAGUACACUGCAGUGGGCAAGAACACCUAGCCGGUGGAUUCAAACAAACUGUAACAGACAGAGAAAAAAAAAACUGGGCCUCCUAUAUACGCUUGUAUGGAAGGAACAAAAAGUAUGGGAAGAAAGAGCAAUAAGAAAGGGUCCUCAGUCCCCAAUCCCGAGAACACUGAUCCAGGAAAGUUAAAUGCAAAGGAGAAUGAAGACAGAAAACAUUCAAUAUCACACACAGCACCAUUAGACAUGAAAGUGGUAUCUCCGGAGCCUUAUAGACGAGUUCAAAAAUGAAGUAUUUAAUGAAAUAAAGCAAGAAAUUAGUAGAAUAGUUAGAGAAAUGCUAAGCACCACCCAAGAAAAAAACAGAUGGUGGAAUGGAAGAACAGAAAAAAAGGGGAGAAUUGUUUGAUGGAGAAAAUAGAGAAAACAUAGAAUACGUGAAGUAGGUUCAAAGAGAUUACCAGGAAACUAAAAACUCUAUUGAAAGCUGGCAUAACAACUUGAAAGAAACUAAGGAUAGAUUAUCUGAACUGGAGGACAGAUUUGUAAUGUGGGAGCAUGAAAUGAAAAGCUUCUUAAAAAUAACAAGAAAACAGCAAUAAUACAAAGGCUAGAAGAUGAUAAGAGGAUCUAUAACUUAAGAAUUAAGAACAUAAAAGAAGAAGUAGGGCCACAAACAAAAGAACUACAAAAGCUAUUCACAGAAAUAAUCUAGGAGAAUUUCCCUAAUUUAGCAAAAGAUAAAGAUACUCAGAUGUAUGAGGCAUACAGGACCCCAGCAACCUACAGCCCAAACAGAGCUACAUCCAGACAUAUAAUAAUCAAAAUUCCAGAAAUUCAAUAUAAGAACAGAAUAUUAAAAGCCGUCAGAGACAAGAAACAGGUCACUUACAAGGGAACACCCAUCAGAAUUACAGCAGACUUCUCGGCACAAACCAUCAAAUCACAAAGAGCAUGGGGGAAAUAAUUCAAGCUUUGAAAGAUAAUAACCUCCAGCCAAGAUUGGUAUAUCCUGCACAACUGUCCCUAGAAAUUGAUGGAAAAACAAGGUGCUUCCAGGAUAAAGAGGAACUAGGGGAAUUUGCAACCACCAAUUCGACUCUACAGAGAAUACUGCAGGGUAUUCUAAAAAAGGAAAAUACCAAGACUUCAGAAACAGUGGCAGAGAGGCCACAAUGAAUGGAGCAGAAAGUGAAAUGAAGAAGACAAACCAACAACUAAUGACAGAAAAAGAGCUCAACAGAAAUGAGGCAGAGAAGGUGGGAUGGUAGGAACAGCUAUUUUGGAGAAAACAAGACAUCAUAAUAGCUAGUGCUGAUUUAAUAUCAUCUUGUUUUGAAGUCCCAUCAAGCUUUUGAUCUUCUGUUUCCAUCGGUCUUAACAUGUUGUAUCUUAUUGGAUUUUAUUAUAUGUGAUAAUAUAAACAAAAACUUUUACAGACAAGGAGAUAAUACAGAAACCAUUGUUCAUUUUCUGUUAGUUGGUUCUAAAUACCCUGUAAUACUGUCAUUCUCUUGAAUGGUUUUACAUUGUCUUGAUAUGUUUGAUGCUACAGUAUAUGAAGUUAUCCUCAAAGAUUUCAAGGAAAGAGACACUAUGGUAACUACUUUUAUGUCAGGAUUAUGUUGUGGUGAAACACUACUUUGCUUACAUGAUUAUGUUUUGACCUGUGCUGUUUUGUUGUUAUGCCCUCUUUUAUCUCAAUCUCCUUUUUUUAUUAUUUACUUUUCAUUUUUAUCCUUUUAAGGGAAAAAUAAAUAAAAAACAGCAGGAUA
This is an RNA transcript of Cavia porcellus (domestic guinea pig), 3854 nucleotides long. RefSeq lists it as uncharacterized. Lineage: Eukaryota; Metazoa; Chordata; Mammalia; Rodentia; Caviidae. The transcript has 6 exons. The record is from RefSeq and is a predicted model, not a curated record.